CACAUGACUCUCGGCAACGGAUAUCUCGGCUCUCGCAUCGAUGAAGAACGUAGCGAAAUGCGAUACCUGGUGUGAAUUGCAGAAUCCCGCGAACCAUCGAGUCUUUGAACGCAAGUUGCGCCCGAGGCCACCCGGCCGAGGGCACGCCUGCCUGGGCGUCACGC
RNAcentral lists this ribosomal RNA (164 nucleotides) under Metcalfia mexicana. RNAcentral's name for it is "5.8S ribosomal RNA". It matches the Rfam family "5.8S ribosomal RNA". From Rfam's summary of the family: 5.8S ribosomal RNA (5.8S rRNA) is a component of the large subunit of the eukaryotic ribosome. It is transcribed by RNA polymerase I as part of the 45S precursor that also contains 18S and 28S rRNA. Functionally, it is thought that 5.8S rRNA may be involved in ribosome translocation. The record is from RNAcentral. Lineage: Eukaryota; Viridiplantae; Streptophyta; Magnoliopsida; Poales; Poaceae.